RNAcentral lists this long non-coding RNA (1715 nucleotides) under Physcomitrium patens. RNAcentral describes it as "long non-coding RNA (PPAT_LNC002294)". Lineage: Eukaryota; Viridiplantae; Streptophyta; Bryopsida; Funariales; Funariaceae. The record is from RNAcentral.
UUAGAAUGUUGAAGCAGAGGGGCCACUAAAAUCAGAAAAAUGGAGGUGGAUUCCAAGUAGGGUAAAUGGGCACAAUUUUCCCCAUUCUUACCCUUAUCCUCAGUCAACUUCCAUUUUCCCACUAUGUGCAUUGCUGCUGAAAUGCCAGCAUUCAUAAUUAGGUACACACAAGACAAAGAAUGCUUUUUAAUCCUCAACAGAAAAUUGUCAGGAACAUUCUUAGCUCUCCAGUUUUGUGUGUUAUGUGUAUGUUUUCUCCCUCCAAGGCCUUGUGAUUUUGCUACAUAAGUUUGAUGACAGCUAUCUUAGAUCUGAGAGUGUAGUUUUGUUCCUUUUAGUGGUUUUGAAGUCCUCUCAAAGAUAUGAGGCUUUGUGUUGUUAGGGUUUGGAAAUAUGAAAGGAUAUUUAUUGGAUGAAGGGUCAAGAGCAAAGGACCCUCCACCAAACCAUGAAUCAUGUGGCCCCAUGAUCUCCAGAGAAAAAUGGAAAUUGAUUAAUCAUGGCUCAGAGGAGGAGGCAUGUUUCAAACUACAUCAGACCUUACAAUGUGAGGUUUACCUCUCUCUUUCUCAAAAACACAGGUUUAAAUACAUGUGUGUGUGUGUGAGAAAAGUUUCCAAAUUGACUUAUUUAAAUAUAAAGUAAGUUGAUAUCCUCUAGCUCAACAAACUUGAACCUACACAAGCAUUGAAUUUAUAUCAAGAAUUCUUACUUGGUGGAAUAUUAUUUGGUGCCUUCUGGUCACAGCUGAGCUCAAGCUUGAGCUUGGUCAAGCAAUGAAAUAGUCAAGACAAAAAGACAAAAAAUGAAAAAAUGAAAAAAUGAAUGCAAUAGAUGAAGAAAUAAGGGAGUUUAAUACUUGCACAGUAGUAGUGGUGUUGUAGUAUUGAGAUGUCUCUGCUCUUGCAAUUUGAUCCACAUCAAAUGGUUGGCCACUUGGUGUAUGACUCUGUUGCCAUGGACCUGUGGAUCAUGGAGGUUGGUAAGAACUCAUUUGCUACUUUUGCUGCCUCAAGGCUGUUGACAAGUAGAGGGCUUCCCUGCAACUAAAUUCCUGCCUUUCUAUGGAGAAACAAGAAGGUUUUUAAUUUCAAUUUUAUUUAUUUAUUUACUGAAACUUAACAAAAAAAUAAAGAAAAAUUAGAUAUAUGUAUUUGUAUAAAAAUAAAAGGAGCCCAUUGUUUUAAAAGGACAAAGGAUAACCAUGUCUUGUUGGCUUGACAUGCUUUCAUUUGAGGGUGGAGGGUGAGCGGGGAUGGGACCCAACAAGAAUGGCUCAAAAAGGUGGAACUUAAUUUGUAUAGAAGUGUGUUAGAUCUCAUACAGUUUGUAUGCUUUUCUCUGUAGGGUUGACUCACUGGCAUGAAGUUUGUUUAUGGAAUGCCAAUUUUUCAUUCACACUACUGGGUUCAAAAGGGGGCUGAGUCAAUGCAAAACUUGGUAAAGAUUGAUUCCUCAACUGAAGAUGGAUGCUAGGGUGCAGCCAAUUGCUAGAAUCAUCAGCUAUUCUUGUUGGGUCCAACACGCAAACCUGCAAUAGUUUUCUUUUUGGUACAAAAGUAUGUCAUGUUGAAAUUUACCAUGUGAAGUAUUCUUGUAAUUGUGUCCAUUAAUAAUUAUAAUAAUAAUAGAAAGUGUACAUUGUGAUAUGUUUUAAUUGCAUCCACAGUAGCCAGAAAUGGUGAAACUUGAGAAGUAAUGUCUUCCAUGCUUUA